UUAUUAAUUUUUAAGAAAUUUAUGACAUUAAGUUUCAGUUUUUAUUAAAAUUGUGUUAUUACGAACGUUUCUCCCAAGUGCUCAUGAAAGCUGUCAGUGUGAAACACUUUGUUUAUGAUAUAUUUGUGUUUGACUUGAGCUCUCUUAUAAUAAUGCUAAUAAGCCAACUUUCGUAGGUAUGAUGAAUAGCUUGUAACGUCAACAAGGAACCGGUGUACUGCAGGCGUUCAUUUAUUCUUCGCUCUACAUGUGACAGUAAAAUUUAUAUCAUCGCGUAAUAAAAGCUGGAAAUUUUAUGAAAUAUUACUGCAAGAGACAGCCUUCCUUAGUACAGAGAGAGAGAGAGAGAGAGAGAGAGAGAGAAAGAGAUGCGAUGGAUGACGGAAAACAGUGUAUACCGAAAGCGACAAAAUUAAGUGCUUGUGAUAACAUAUGAAUUUUGCAGUAGCUUUUGUAAUUUUGUCAGGAGACCUUACACGCGUUCAGAUUCGCUGAUAUUCAGAUAAUUCCUAAAAUCAUCUCUCUAAUAAAACGCAAAAAUCAGACAAUUUACUGCAAGAAAAUAUUUUAUUUUACCACAUGUUUCGAGAAAAGAUUAGUUUCUUUUCUUUGAAAAACAGAUUUUUAAAUAUUUUACGGCGUAGCAUUAUUAAAUCUUUUUUUAUUUAGAAUUUUAUAGGAAACUGUUUUGUAGAUUUCUCUUUAACAAAAUAUAUUUUGUUGAAACAUUUUAAGAAGACAAUUCAGCAUUGAUUACUAUUUUGCUAGCUGUCAACAUCAGGUAUCUUGAUAAUCAAACUUUUAAUUAAAUUUCUAUGUUCGGACUAGCUGCAAGUGAAAAUUUUCUAAUAAACAACUAACCGACAAUAUUAUUAUCUCGCGGGUUUUAUUUCACGUAACCUUUGAACUUUUCAUAGCAUUAUCGGUUCGGAUGUUUGUUUAGUUUAAUCUUUCAUCGCAAAUGGUUGCUUUUUUCGCCGUUUACUCGCCUUUAGCAUCUAUGAUUGAAUUUACAUGUAGCGGUAAUGCGGGGAUGGAUUCUGCAUAAUUCACAAAACGUAUGCACAACUCGCAGUCUCGGCCCCUGACCAUGAAUCGUGAAUUAUUCUGAUGAUGGUGUACAAACGCUUAUAAAUAAUAAGAGAAAACAGACAGGAUGCGACGGUUCCUCUCGCUUCGGUUUUAGCUCUCUCCCUCUCUCCCUCCCUCUCUCUCUCUCUCUCUCUCUCUGCAUUCAUCGCUCGCGGUGAUUUACUGCGAAUUUGUAUAUGUGUGAUGUAUCUCGUACAUCCGCGCUCCUCUUAAUACGGCUCGACAUAAUGGAUAAUUGCUGUGACUGGUAGCCGAUGCGCGAUACCUAAGUGCAUUUAUGUGUAAAGCCAAAGCCGACGUUUGCCUUACUUCAUCACGUCCCAAGUACGUUGUGUCGUGCUCUGUCCAAUAAAUCGCGAAUAUCAUUCGUAGAUGACGCACGAAUCGGAUGCUGGACGGUCCAAUCUUCUCUCCCGCAGCUGAAAACCAUUCGGGAAAUUCGAAUGUAAAACGAAAAUAUUUGCGCUGAACUACCAAAUAGCGGAGGGGAAGCGGUAGAAUGCCUGGAAUCCUCAUAUCUUGCCUGUACGGGAUUUAUGAUAAAGGUGCGUAUGUGUGAGGCUAUUGAAACUAAAUUUUUGGCAUCGAAUAAAACUGCCAUAAAUAUCCGCCACGUCCAUAUACAUGAAUUUACGGAGGUCUGUUUGUAAUAGUUAUCGAUUGUUUGAUGAAUGAUAUUGCGUUUUGUAUUCGUCGGAUGUCAUUUCUCUUUCCUGCAUUUGAAAUUUAGAAGAUGAUUUUAAUUUAAUAAAAUUAUACGAUACGUUACAUAACGUUACAUAAAAAAAAGGAAACUGUAUUUUUUAUCACGAAUUAUCAUUUGAAACAUGUCCUGAUAUAAUCUUUUUACGCUGCAAAUCCUAAAUUUUUUAAAGAUUUUUCGGCGCUUUCAUGUUACAGUAGUUUCGUUACAUAUUUUAUUAUAAAUACGUGUGCUUAUGAUUUUUGUUUUCAUUACGCGAAUUAUGUUUUCCAAAUGCAUAAUGAUGCGCAAAAUAAAAGAAGUAUUAUAGUGCAUCGUUUAUAUAAAAAAUAUUUUUUUACGGAAAAUACUCUGCAAUUUUUAAUACGUGGGAAUUUUAUUUAAUAUUAUUAUUAUUUUGAUACAUUUAUGUAAUAUGUGCAUAUACACACAUUACAGUGGUAUAUGCAGUUGUAUCUUGAUAUCGCUCUUUUAUACAUCAGGAUAUUAGAUAAUUACAAUCUAUAGUUAUUUCGAAAUACACAAUUUAUUCGAAAUAGUUUGUACCCAAAUCGGAUCGAGAUGUACUUAAUCCAUCCUGCGUUCCCAGCAAGCAUUCGUUAGGACUUUUAAUUACUCCCAAGGCACUUUCAAGUAUACAGUUUCUCAUUAAACUCUCUGUUAAACUCCGUGAAAUCAGUUUCAAUUCUUUUCUGGCUAAAUGCAUAUUUAAAGAGCAAAUCGUGACGAAGCAAUUACAAGUCUCCUGCGACUUCUGGUUUAAAGAUACUAACUCGGAGUUUUAAUUCGCCGAGAAUUUAAAAAUUAAAGAAGAAGGGAACGUUGCGAUCAUUUACAAAAGCAAUCCAGAUAAAUUCUGUAAUGAUAAAAUUCAUUAGCCGAAAUAUAAAAUCGAUAUACAUGUACAUUUACUUACAAUUAGUAGUAUAAAAUGGUUUUACUCAAAAAUAUAUUAUAGAAAAUUUCUUUAGUGAUUAAUUAUUCCGAGUCGAUCUUUUUUAGCAUAAUGAAUAUUAUGAGGUAAUAUUUUUUAUCCAACUAAAAUUGAAAAUUUCGGGAUUUUGAGAUAUUAAAUAAAUUUCUAAAGUCAAAUUAAAUCUCAGAGACGCAAACAGAUAAAACUUUGCGCCUUUAUCCACACACACACACAACUUGUGAAAGUCUUUACUUUAAUCAAUCUUGAAUUUGCGGAUUGUUUAGAAAGAUAUCGCAUAUUAAACUGAGAAAGUUGUAGAAAGAGGAACGAUUUAAUUAGGUCGCUUCAUCGAAAAGUUUAACUUGGCCGAAGUAUGCCAAAAUGGAAUUAAAUGCGGAGAACUUAGGACACUUUUAAAGCAUUGAAAAAACAUGAUGUUCAAGACGUGCCAUUUUAAAUCCGUUAAGUCGUAUUUAAAUUUUUGUUGUACUUAAUUGCGCUAAAAGCAACAGCAAUUUUACCUGCGUUGCAUUGAUGUAUAGAGGACUCGCACGCGUUGCAACGUACAAAAUUAAAAUAACGAGACACACAGAACCGCGUGCGUGACACAUAUCUCAAUGUAAUUUCCUCCGAUGUCGUUAGCGAAAUAUUACGUCCAGUAAAAACAACAAUGUGUUGCUUUAAAUGGCUGGGUCACGCGAAAAUUAAACGUCAUCCGUAAGCUCAAUCGGAAAUGAAUAACCAAUAAAAGUGGUGAGUUUGUCCGCGCUUAAAAUCACUUGAACAUAUCAGAGACAACAUAAAUUUUACGCUGGCGUAAUGACGUAUUGUACGUGCUUGACGUUCAACGUGAAAAACGUUAUUAUAUUAUUAUUCUUAGCAGAAAGUAAUGAAACAAUUACAUUGUUCUGUCAUCGCGUUGCAUGUUAUGUAACCAUUGUAUAAUUAGUCCGCGCAUUAUUUAAGUGUGGUCAGAUAGAAGCCGUUCUUUCCCUGAAAUCAAUCUAUCAUUUUUAUUAAAAACUCGAUAUGUUAUAAUUUUACAUGAAUAUUAAAAAUCAAUAAUAAAUCUUUAAUGUAUUAAUCGUAUCAGAAUUUUUGCACGCAAGGCAUAAGAAUAUCGACGAAAUAUGUUAACUCUCGCAAUUAUUCUUAUCCGCCGGCUGCUACUCAAUCUCGUAGUGUACUUAUGGUUGUAAUCUUAAGUGUAACUUACAACUAUGUGGUAAAUCCUUUAUCACUCCCAUCACUGAAUAUUAACACGGAUAUUAUCGGCAUGCCCGAGAAUGAAGAUACAACGCAGCGCAAAUGUACCACAACUCUUAUUUAAUUUAUAUUAAUAUCUCAGCGAGAUAAACGUUACGUUAUCCUGAUAUCGAUGAUAACGAAACGCAAUUUGAUUAAUUAAACAGAAGUAGGUACAAACUCGAUAUUACUACUACGUUUCAUAUAAAAUACCAAAUGGAUGAUUUGUAUUAAACGGGACAUCAAAAUUAUGCAUAAAAAAAGACUCUUUUUCUCGUUUAAUAAACAUUUAUGAUGUCAGGUCGGAGACAAUUCGAUAGGACAUUUCACAAAUUUCCCUCCGUUAUUUUAUCUCACAGUUACUUAUUUAUUUUUCUUUCUCUCGCGCGCAUUCCCGUCGUCUUCCUCGCAUUUGUGCGUACUCCAGACGGUUUCACUUUCAAGAAACGUGAAACAAAAGACCGGGAAAUCAACAGUAUCUUUGAAAACGAGGAAAUGCUUGCUGCUGUUAACGUCGCGUCGUGAAAAAGCUUCAAGAAACAAGAAUGUAUCCUCACUGAUUCCCGUAAUUGGCUUCCAACCUGCCGUCAUUUUCUUGUUAACGAAGAAACGCGUCUCUUUUGCAACAAACGCAACGCACCCACAGGAGAUCUUGAAAAAAUGUGGCGUGUAACACAUAUAUCUCAAAGAUAUGUGAGUCGCUUAACGUAUCGAUCAACGGAUCGUAAACUCUUACUGAUUAUUUUGGUUUGUUAUCAGUUCCCUUCGCGAAGGGACCAACGAACACUUUGCUAUCCGCUACAAACACGUAACAAAUCCGUACGAGACAAUGCUCGUUUCCCUUUCUUUUAUAUAUAUAAUAACCGUAUUUGCCGUUCUCUUCCUAACAAAUCUCUAGCACGCAAGGGGAAGCGUCUGUUGCUAUCUGAUAUUACGGAAUUGUGGAAGGCAGGGGAGAAGAAUUCUAUUCCAUUGCCAACGUGAAGAGGGUUGUGUGUCUGAUAUAUCAUACUUAUCAUAUAACUCAUUUCAACUAAAGAGGACAUUACCUGCCUCGUAAGAAGAUUUGGUUCAGCCAUUUUGCCGGUUAUAAUAGAUCAUUCCUUAAUCCAAAUACUUCUUUUCAUAUGUUAUUCAUAUUACUGUCAGGGAAAUUAUAGCAUGCGCUUAUAUGAUAAAUUAGCUCGUGCGGGAAAUGCAAAAUUGCACAUAAUUUCGCUGGAAAUCUCGAAAGAUAGAAAUCGUUUCAUGAGAGACUGGAGUCGCGUUCUUCUUCAUUAUUUUCACAUAAAAAUAUGUGUCCUUGCAAUUUUAAGAAAUAUUGCUCCUUAAUAAAUUUACCUUGGAGUGUGCUAAAUUAACAGUUCUAUCAAUAUUUAAAGUGAGAUAAAGAGUGAGAUAAAGGGAUCUUUGCGCUCCAAUAUCUGGAUGGCGUUAAUUAAAAAUAUCGGAAUAUUAAUCUCGCUAUUAAUUAGAGGAGCUCUCUUUUUCCUUAUCGCAAAGAACGCUACAGAGGCUGCAGAGAUAACCUGAAGUAAAACGAAAAGAUAAUGUAAGAUUAUACAUUACAGUCGUACGAAAGAAGAUGCUGCUAGAAUAAUUAUGAGACCAAAGACAAAAAAGUGCGAGAAUAAGAAUGUGUGUGGAAACAAUUCGGUAUCUUUGUAACAAUGCAAGCCGAAAGCGACUGCGGCAUAAGAAUUAACGCUCGCGAGAGAUGCGGGAAGGUUUGUGGAGAUAGAAAAAUCCGCAACCGCAACAAUUUAUCGGCUCCGUUUGUCCUCGCGUGCGUGGGCGGUUACAAAUAAAUAAAAAUCUAAAUCUAGUGGACAACUUUAUGCUCCUGAAAUUGCACGACAGUUCUAUUCAAGACGAUAAAGUCAACCGUAAAUGGUAGGCAACGAUUAAUCGCGGCAAUUCGUUGAAUUGCGCAGUAAUUGCAGCAAUUUGUUACAGGAGUGCUCCGUCGGACAGACUGACUGAUUUAAACGAGCUCUAAUUUAUUGUGGUUCACGGUUUUUUUAUUUUUUUGUAAUAUGUAGCUUUCACAGUCUCGCGAUUGAUGGCAGUAUCGAGCGUAUCAAAUGUGCUGUUGUCUGCAAUAAAGGCAAGCGCGAGAUUGUAAACGAAACUAUUCGUGGCCAUAGGUCGACUGCUACGCACUUUUGAACUCGGGUUACCUUUUUGCUCACUUGUCCUAGGACAUUUGACAUUUUGGCGGAUUGUAAUAACUCAUCGGAAUUUGAAAGUUUAGCCUUUAUGAAACUUGACCGAAUGGUCCGAUUCAUCACUAUUCGGCAAGAGUUCCCAAUCGGAAUUGGGAAUCCGUGAAACGAAUGUCGCUCCAGAAAUGUUGAAAAAGCAUUUGAGCCCGUAUUUAUAAAACUGCAACAGACUUGUCACUUUGAAUAUGAUUGUUUAUGAUAACAUAUUGUAAUAAGUGACAUAAAAUUAUUUUAUUCAUUGAUAAAGAAUGACGUGAUAAUGGUACUAUGUCGUUAUUGCAAUAUUCUGCAAUAAUUGGAAAAAAAUUAAUAUUUCAAAUUAUAUUAUAACAAGGCGCUUCUCGCAAAACUGGUCUCUUUAUAAAAAUGGGUACAAAGAAAGCACUUCAAAGAGAAAUACUUUGCGUAACCGUUUUUUUGUUAUUUUUUGGAAGUAAAAUGCAAAUUACUUUCA
This is a long non-coding RNA of Ooceraea biroi (clonal raider ant), 6635 nucleotides long. RefSeq lists it as uncharacterized. The record is from RefSeq and is a predicted model, not a curated record. NCBI's taxonomy places the organism in Eukaryota, Metazoa, Arthropoda, Insecta, Hymenoptera, Formicidae.